This 522-nucleotide ribosomal RNA is filed under the name uncultured Glomeromycotina. RNAcentral's name for it is "SSU rRNA". It matches the Rfam family "Eukaryotic small subunit ribosomal RNA", at positions 569 to 1092 of the family's 1831-position model. Lineage: Eukaryota; Fungi; Glomeromycota. The record is from RNAcentral.
AGCAGCCGCGGUAAUUCCAGCUCCAAUAGCGUAUAUUAAAGUUGUUGCAGUUAAAAAGCUCGUAGUUGAAUUUCGGGGUCAGUAGGUCGGUCGUGCCACUGGUAUGAACUGGUUUUACUGAUUCCCCCCUCUUGAAGAACUGUAAUGCCAUUAAUUUGGUGUUGCAGGGAAUCAGGACUGUUACUUUGAAAAAAUUAGAGUGUUUAAAGCAGGCUUUAGCUUGAAUACAUUAGCAUGGAAUAAUGAAAUAGGACGUUUGAUCCUAUUUUGUUGGUUUCUAGGAUUGACGUAAUGAUUAAUAGGGAUAGUUGGGGGCAUUAGUAUUCAAUUGUCAGAGGUGAAAUUCUUGGAUUUAUUGAAGACUAACUACUGCGAAAGCAUUUGCCAAGGAUGUUUUCAUUAAUCAAGAACGAAAGUUAGGGGAUCGAAGACGAUCAGAUACCGUCUUAGUCUUAACCAUAAACUAUGCCGACUAGGGAUCGGAUGAUGUUAAUUUUUUAAUGACUCAUUCGGCGCCUUACG